GUGAGGAAUUUUCCGCAAUGGGCGAAAGCCUGACGGAGCAAUGCCGCGUGAAGGAUGAAGGCCUAUGGGUUGUAAACUUCUUUUCUCAGAAAAGAAUUAUGACGGUAUCUGAGGAAUAAGCAUCGGCUAACUCUGUGCCAGCAGCCGCGGUAAGACAGAGGAUGCAAGCGUUAUCCGGAAUGAUUGGGCGUAAAGCGUCUGUAGGUUGUUUAAAAAGUAUUCUGUCAAAGAUUAGGGCUUAACCCUAGAUAGGCAGAAUAAACUUUUAAUCUAGAGUUUGGUAGAGGCAGAGGGAAUUCCCGGUGGAGCGGUGAAAUGCGUAGAUAUCGGGAGGAACACCAAAGGCGAAGGCACUCUGCUGGGCCAAUACUAACACUGAGAGACGAAAGCGAGGGGAGCAAAUGGGAUUAGAUACCCUAGUAGUCC
RNAcentral lists this ribosomal RNA (426 nucleotides) under uncultured bacterium. RNAcentral describes it as "bacterial SSU rRNA". It matches the Rfam family "Bacterial small subunit ribosomal RNA", at positions 354 to 796 of the family's 1533-position model. The record is from RNAcentral.